GUCCACGCCGUAAACGAUGAGCACUAGUUAUUGGGGGUAUUGACUCCCUCAGUGACGCAGCUAACGCAUUAAGUGCUCCGCCUGGGGAGUACGGUCGCAAGACUAAAACUCAAACAAAUUGACGGGGGCCCGCACAAGCGGUGGAUUAUGUGGUUUAAUUCGAAGCAACGCGCAGAACCUUACCUAGGCUUGAACUCCUACGAAUCCGGGGUAAUUCCUGGAGUGUCCGCAAGGAAUGUAGUGAGAGGUGCUGCAUGGCUGUCGU
Molecule: ribosomal RNA, 265 nt
Filed under: uncultured bacterium
Lineage: Bacteria
Description: partial 16S ribosomal RNA
Rfam family: Bacterial small subunit ribosomal RNA
Source: RNAcentral